CCCUCGCCCAACAGAUCGCUAUCGAAGCUACACACAGAGACCGCGAUCUUCGUGGUCUCACUAUCCAGCUUUGGGAGAAAGUCCCCGGACGGCUCUUUCGCCUUUCUCUCGGGAAAGGUCGCAAAGAUGACAGCGGAAACGCACCGCCAUAGAAGCACAGCGGUUUACCUUCACCUUGCGUUCGUUUUCCCGUAACACCAGCGUGCUUCGCAUCCACCCCUCCUACCCGGCUUUGCUGUAAGAAAAUCUAUUCUGCCCACCCGGGCGGUGCCUGACGUCGGUGGUUCUGUUCCGUCUCUCGCCGGCCAUGAGGUCCCCCAUGGACGAAGAUAUGAGUCCGCGGCUUCAUGGCUUGGGAGCUCGGGCGUUCUCUGGCGUCGCCGUGCCCGCUUGGCGGCAGUUUGGAUGGCAGGAUCUCACCGUGGAUCGGACAUUCUGGGUGGGUUAACAUCAUGGGCGCGGGUAGAACACCUUUUGUCGAGAUCGAUAGUUAUGCGAUUGCCUAGCUUUGCUCGACUCGUCGAGCGGCUUGGUUACUCGAUGGGGCUUAUUCUUGGCGCGAGG
This 564-nucleotide RNase MRP RNA is filed under the name Xylariales sp. No.14919. Its description in RNAcentral is "fungal sp. No.14919 RNase MRP". It matches the Rfam family "RNase MRP". Rfam says of the family: RNase MRP is an enzymatically active ribonucleoprotein with two distinct roles in eukaryotes. The record is from Rfam by way of RNAcentral. Lineage: Eukaryota; Fungi; Ascomycota; Sordariomycetes; Xylariales.